AAUAUUGCACAAUGGGCGAAAGCCUGAUGCAGUGACGCCGCUUGGGGGAUGAAGGCCUUCGGGUUGUAAACCCCUUUCAGCAGGGAAGAAGCGAGAGCGACUGUACCUGCAGAAGAAGCGCCGGCUAACUACGUUCCAGCAGCCGCGGUAAUACGUAGGGCGCAAGCGCUGUCCGGAUUUAUUGGGCGUAAAGAGCACGUAGGCGGUCAGUCGCGACUGCUGUGAAAACCCGAGGCUCAACCUCGGGCCUGCAGUGGAUACGGGCUGACUAGAGUGCGGUAGGGGAGACUGGAAUUCCUGGUGUAGCGGUGGAAUGCGCAGAUAUCAGGAGGAACACCGAUGGCGAAGGCAGGUCUCUGGGCCGCAACUGACGCUGAGGAGCGAAAGCGUGGGGAGCAAACA
RNAcentral lists this ribosomal RNA (402 nucleotides) under uncultured bacterium. Its description in RNAcentral is "partial 16S ribosomal RNA". It matches the Rfam family "Bacterial small subunit ribosomal RNA", at positions 360 to 774 of the family's 1533-position model. The record is from RNAcentral.